Molecule: ribosomal RNA, 124 nt
Filed under: uncultured bacterium
Lineage: Bacteria
Description: partial 16S ribosomal RNA
Source: RNAcentral
CCGUGGCUUAUUCAUAAGGUACCGUCACUAUCUUCCCUUAUAAAAGGAGUUUACGACCCGAAGGCCUUCGUCCUCCACGCGGCGUCGCUGCGUCAGGGUUUCCCCCAUUGCGCAAAAAUUCCCC